RNAcentral lists this ribosomal RNA (292 nucleotides) under uncultured bacterium. Its description in RNAcentral is "partial 16S ribosomal RNA". It matches the Rfam family "Bacterial small subunit ribosomal RNA", at positions 505 to 796 of the family's 1533-position model. The record is from RNAcentral.
GUGUCAGCAGCCGCGGUAAUACGGAGGGUGCAAGCGUUGUCCGGAUUUAUUGGGUUUAAAGGGUGCGUAGGCGGCUUAUUAAGUCAGGGGUGAAAGACUGCAGCUCAACUGUAGCAGUGCCUUUGAUACUGAUGAGCUUGAGUACAGAUGAGGCUGGCGGAAUGGGUGGUGUAGCGGUGAAAUGCAUAGAUACCAUCCAGAACACCGAUUGCGAAGGCAGCCGGCUAAACUGUAACUGACGCUGAGGCACGAAAGCGUGGGGAUCGAACAGGAUUAGAUACCCUGGUAGUCC